This 84-nucleotide transfer RNA is filed under the name Microcaldota archaeon. RNAcentral's name for it is "tRNA-Leu". It matches the Rfam family "tRNA". Rfam says of the family: Transfer RNA (tRNA) molecules are approximately 80 nucleotides in length. Their secondary structure includes four short double-helical elements and three loops (D, anti-codon, and T loops). Further hydrogen bonds mediate the characteristic L-shaped molecular structure. tRNAs have two regions of fundamental functional importance: the anti-codon, which is responsible for specific mRNA codon recognition, and the 3' end, to which the tRNAs corresponding amino acid is attached (by aminoacyl-tRNA synthetases). tRNAs cope with the degeneracy of the genetic code in two manners: having more than one tRNA (with a specific anti-codon) for a particular amino acid; and 'wobble' base-pairing, i.e. permitting non-standard base-pairing at the 3rd anti-codon position. The record is from RNAcentral. Lineage: Archaea; Nanobdellati; Microcaldota.
GCAGGGAUAGCGAAGCGGUUAAACGCGCUGGACUCAAGAUCCAGUCACUUAGUGUGUUCGGAGGUUCGAAUCCUCCUCCCUGCA